CAACUCCCCAGCGCAUGUUGGAAAAGGGCUACCAUCGCACCAGGAAACAUGCCGUGAAGGACUCCAUUAUCACGGAGCUGAUAGAGGAGAUGGCAGAAAAAUUAGAUAGGAGGCCCACAAAGGCAUCUAUUCAAAAAAAAUGGUGCGAUUUAAAGCGCCACCAUAUGGAUCGCAUCCAUAAAGAAAGUGAGAGAAUAUGCCCAGGAGAUCCUGUUCCAACAGUAAAAAAAUGGAAAUCGCAGGAGACGGUG
This is a long non-coding RNA of Bufo bufo (common toad), 251 nucleotides long. RefSeq lists it as uncharacterized. The record is from RefSeq and is a predicted model, not a curated record. NCBI's taxonomy places the organism in Eukaryota, Metazoa, Chordata, Amphibia, Anura, Bufonidae. The transcript is spliced from 3 exons.